RNAcentral lists this ribosomal RNA (1314 nucleotides) under Klebsiella pneumoniae. RNAcentral describes it as "partial 23S ribosomal RNA". It matches the Rfam family "Bacterial large subunit ribosomal RNA", at positions 398 to 1717 of the family's 2925-position model. Lineage: Bacteria; Pseudomonadati; Pseudomonadota; Gammaproteobacteria; Enterobacterales; Enterobacteriaceae. The record is from RNAcentral.
UGUGAACUCGAAGAGUAGGGCGGGACACGUGGUAUCCUGUCUGAAUAUGGGGGGACCAUCCUCCAAGGCUAAAUACUCCUGACUGACCGAUAGUGAACCAGUACCGUGAGGGAAAGGCGAAAAGAACCCCGGCGAGGGGAGUGAAAAAGAACCUGAAACCGUGUACGUACAAGCAGUGGGAGCACCUUCGGGUGUGACUGCGUACCUUUUGUAUAAUGGGUCAGCGACUUAUAUUCUGUAGCAAGGUUAACCGUAUAGGGGAGCCGCAGGGAAACCGAGUCUUAACUGGGCGUUAAGUUGCAGGGUAUAGACCCGAAACCCGGUGAUCUAGCCAUGGGCAGGUUGAAGGUUGGGUAACACUAACUGGAGGACCGAACCGACUAAUGUUGAAAAAUUAGCGGAUGACUUGUGGCUGGGGGUGAAAGGCCAAUCAAACCGGGAGAUAGCUGGUUCUCCCCGAAAGCUAUUUAGGUAGCGCCUCGUGAACUCAUCUUCGGGGGUAGAGCACUGUUUCGGCUAGGGGGUCAUCCCGACUUACCAACCCGAUGCAAACUACGAAUACCGAAGAAUGUUAUCACGGGAGACACACGGCGGGUGCUAACGUCCGUCGUGAAGAGGGAAACAACCCAGACCGCCAGCUAAGGUCCCAAAGUCAUGGUUAAGUGGGAAACGAUGUGGGAAGGCACAGACAGCCAGGAUGUUGGCUUAGAAGCAGCCAUCAUUUAAAGAAAGCGUAAUAGCUCACUGGUCGAGUCGGCCUGCGCGGAAGAUGUAACGGGGCUAAACCAUGCACCGAAGCUGCGGCAGCGACACUAUGUGUUGUUGGGUAGGGGAGCGUUCUGUAAGCCUGCGAAGGUGUGCUGUGAGGCAUGCUGGAGGUAUCAGAAGUGCGAAUGCUGACAUAAGUAACGAUAAAGCGGGUGAAAAGCCCGCUCGCCGGAAGACCAAGGGUUCCUGUCCAACGUUAAUCGGGGCAGGGUGAGUCGACCCCUAAGGCGAGGCCGAAAGGCGUAGUCGAUGGGAAACAGGUUAAUAUUCCUGUACUUGGUGUUACUGCGAAGGGGGGACGGAGAAGGCUAUGUUAGCCGGGCGACGGUUGUCCCGGUUUAAGCAUGUAGGCUGGUUGUCCAGGCAAAUCCGGAUAAUCAAGGCUGAGGUGUGAUGACGAGGCACUACGGUGCUGAAGUAACAAAUGCCCUGCUUCCAGGAAAAGCCUCUAAGCAUCAGGUAACAUCAAAUCGUACCCCAAACCGACACAGGUGGUCAGGUAGAGAAUACCAAGGCGCUUGAGAGAACUCGGGUGAAGGAACUAGG